This is a small nuclear RNA of Anser brachyrhynchus (Pink-footed goose), 168 nucleotides long. Its record names the gene U2. It matches the Rfam family "U2 spliceosomal RNA". From Rfam's summary of the family: U2 is a small nuclear RNA (snRNA) component of the spliceosome (involved in pre-mRNA splicing). Complementary binding between U2 snRNA (in an area lying towards the 5' end but 3' to hairpin I) and the branchpoint sequence (BPS) of the intron results the bulging out of an unpaired adenosine, on the BPS, which initiates a nucleophilic attack at the intronic 5' splice site, thus starting the first of two transesterification reactions that mediate splicing. NCBI's taxonomy places the organism in Eukaryota, Metazoa, Chordata, Aves, Anseriformes, Anatidae. The record is from Ensembl.
UGUGCUUCUCGGCCUUUUGGCUAAGAUCAAGUGUAGUAUCUGUUCUUAUCAGUUUAAUAUCUGAUACGUCCUCGAUGAGAGGACUUUAUAUUAAACGGAUUUUUGGGCUCGGGAGUUGGAUCCGGAGCUUGCUCUUUAUCUUCAUCUUUUUCCACAAGGAAAUGGUUG